CAGCCGCCACGGGAAUACAGAGGGUGCAAGCGUUAAUCGGAAUUACUGGGCGUAAAGCGCGCGUAGGUGGUUUGUUCAUUUGGAUGUGAAAUCCCCGGGCUCAACCUGGGAACUGCAUCCAAAACUGGCAAGCUAGAGUAUGGUAGAGGGUGGUGGAAUUUCCUGUGUAGCGGUGAAAUGCGUAGAUAUAGGAAGGAACACCAGUGGCGAAGGCGACCACCUGGACUGAUACUGACACUGAGGUGCGAAAGCGUGGGGAGCAAACAGGAUUAGAUACCCCAGUAGUCCCUGUCUCUUAUAC
This 301-nucleotide ribosomal RNA is filed under the name uncultured bacterium. RNAcentral's name for it is "partial 16S ribosomal RNA". It matches the Rfam family "Bacterial small subunit ribosomal RNA", at positions 509 to 807 of the family's 1533-position model. The record is from RNAcentral.